UAUUGGACAAUGGCCGCAAGGCUGAUCCAGCCAUGCCGCGUGCAGGAUGAAGGUGCUCUGCAUUGUAAACUGCUUUUGUUCGGGAAUAAACCCCUCUACGUGUAGAGGGCUGAAUGUACCGAAAGAAUAAGGGUCGGCUAACUUCGUGCCAGCAGCCGCGGUAAUACGAAGGACCCGAGCGUUAUCCGGAUUUAUUGGGUUUAAAGGGUGCGUAGGCGGAAUAUUAAGUCAGUGGUGAAAGCCUUCAGCUUAACUGGAGAAUUGCCAUUGAUACUGAUGUUCUUGAGUAUGAUUGAGGUGGGCGGAAUGUGUCAUGUAGCGGUGAAAUGCUUAGAUAUGACACAGAACACCGAUUGCGAAGGCAGCUCACUAAGCCAAUACUGACGCUGAUGCACGAAAGCGUGGGGAGCAAACAGG
This 417-nucleotide ribosomal RNA is filed under the name uncultured bacterium. RNAcentral's name for it is "bacterial SSU rRNA". It matches the Rfam family "Bacterial small subunit ribosomal RNA", at positions 362 to 776 of the family's 1533-position model. The record is from RNAcentral.